AAAGUCGUAACAAGGUUUCCGUAGGUGAACCUGCGGAAGGAUCAUUAUUGAUUCAAGAGUUAUGUGCUGGCUCUCUUGUGGAGCAGAUUGUGCACUCUCUCAAAUCUAACUCUAUUCACCUGUGCAUACUUGGUAGGCAAGUAUAGAAAUUGGGAACGCAGUUGCCAUGUAUAAUUGCCUAUCGUCUUUACAUACACAUUUUUGAAUGCCAUGAAUUGUAAUUGAAACAAAUAUAACAACUUUCAACAAUGGAUCUCUUGGUUCUC
RNAcentral lists this unclassified non-coding RNA (266 nucleotides) under Basidiomycota sp. RNAcentral describes it as "partial contains small subunit ribosomal RNA, internal transcribed spacer 1, and 5.8S ribosomal RNA". The stretch from base 1 to 47 matches the Rfam family "Eukaryotic small subunit ribosomal RNA", at positions 1785 to 1831 of the family's 1831-position model. The record is from RNAcentral. Lineage: Eukaryota; Fungi; Basidiomycota.